UACGUAGGUCCCGAGCGUUGUCCGGAUUUAUUGGGCGUAGAGCGAGCGCAGGUGGUUUAUUAAGUUUGGUGUAAAAGGCAGUGGCUCAACCAUUGUAUGCAUUGGAAACUGGUAGACUUGAGUGCAGGAGAGGAGAGUGGAAUUCCAUGUGUAGCGGUGAAAUGCGUAGAUAUAUGGAGGAACACCGGUGGCGAAAGCGGCUCUCUGGCCUGUAACUGACACUGAGGCUCGAAAGCGUGGGGAGCAAACAGG
RNAcentral lists this ribosomal RNA (252 nucleotides) under uncultured bacterium. Its description in RNAcentral is "partial 16S ribosomal RNA". It matches the Rfam family "Bacterial small subunit ribosomal RNA", at positions 524 to 776 of the family's 1533-position model. The record is from RNAcentral.